AGUAUACUCCUUCCCUCUCACAUAAGGGUGGGUGCUACACUACCACCCAUCAUGAAGUUCACCUCCAUGUGAGGAGUGAGUAAACUCCUAGACUACCUAAUAAAUUUCAUGCCAUAAAACAUUGUGUUACAGCUCUAAUUAGGACUGAGCACUUGACCCGGCCCACCCGAAAACCGACCCGACCCGACCCGACCCGACAGGUUUUGGGCGGGUCUAAGAAUAUUCGGGUCCAGUUUCGGGUCUUAUUUUCAGGUUAUUUUCGGGUUUGGAUCGGAUUCGGGUCGGUUUUCGGGUCAUAUAAAUACCUUAGUCUGAACCCGAUUUUGGUGUUUCUAAAAAAAAACCCUACGUUGGUCUCUUUAGUCUCCACCUCCCUCAUCUCUCUCUUUAUUCCUCAAAGGUUUAAACCUCAUCCUUACAAGCCAAUUUCAAGCUAUUUGCUCCAUUUGUCUCUGUGUUUUUAACUAAAGAGCUCUUCUGCCUCUCUCUGGGGUUUCACUAUUUUGCUUUUUCGCCAAGCAACCCCAUGUGUAUGAAGCCAAGUUUAAUGUUGGAGCUUGAAGAAGUGCUUACAUGCAGGAUUACUGAAAAUAAACUUUUUUGACGACUAAGCAUUCUGUCCAGCAAUGGAUUGCUGUAAUCUGUUUCAUGACUAAGCAUUUUGUUGUAAUGUAAAACUUUAGAUAUCUUGCCAUAGUUUUUCAUUUCCGGCUCUUUAGUGCUUGUGUUGGUUUUUAUGCAUUUGUAUUGCUUUCUCAAAGUUCUAACACUGUUUGGGGAGUUCACAACAGAAUGAAAUGAAUUAGAGUGGAUAGGUUAUAAAUGAAUGGAAUGUGGAGGACUAUAUUAUUUUCUUU
Molecule: long non-coding RNA, 857 nt
Organism: Quercus robur (English oak)
Lineage: Eukaryota; Viridiplantae; Streptophyta; Magnoliopsida; Fagales; Fagaceae
Exons: 3
Source: RefSeq, a predicted model, not a curated record